AUAAUACUACCUCUGUCCUGAAUUAAUUCUCGCCGAAAUGGAUGUAUCUAGACGUAUUUUUAGUUCUAGAUACAUCCAUUUUUCUAUGUAUUUCCGCGACAAAUAAUUCAAGACGGAGGGAGUAUGAG
Molecule: non-coding RNA, 128 nt
Organism: Triticum aestivum (bread wheat)
Lineage: Eukaryota; Viridiplantae; Streptophyta; Magnoliopsida; Poales; Poaceae
Source: Rfam